CGAAUGCUGACAUAAGUAACGAUAAAGCGGGUGAAAAGCCCGCUCGCCGGAAGACCAAGGGUUCCUGUCCAACGUUAAUCGGGGCAGGGUGAGUCGACCCCUAAGGCGAGGCCGAAAGGCGUAGUCGAUGGGAAACAGGUUAAUAUUCCUGUACUUGGUGUUACUGCGAAGGGGGGACGGAGAAGGCUAUGUUGGCCGGGCGACGGUUGUCCCGGUUUAAGCGUGUAGGCUGGUUUUCCAGGCAAAUCCGGAAAAUCAAGGCUGAGGCGUGAUGACGAGGCACUACGGUGCUGAAGCAACAAAUGCCCUGCUUCCAGGAAAAGCCUCUAAGCAUCAGGUAACAUCAAAUCGUACCCCAAACCGACACAGGUGGUCAGGUAGAGAAUACCAAGGCGCUUGAGAGAACUCGGGUGAAGGAACUAGGCAAAAUGGUGCCGUAACUUCGGGAGAAGGCACGCUGAUAUGUAGGUGAAGUCCCUCGCGGAUGGAGCUGAAAUCAGUCGAAGAUACCAGCUGGCUGCAACUGUUUAUUAAAAACACAGCACUGUGCAAACACGAAAGUGGACGUAUACGGUGUGACGCCUGCCCGGUGCCGGAAGGUUAAUUGAUGGGGUUAGCGCAAGCGAAGCUCUUGAUCGAAGCCCCGGUAAACGGCGGCCGUAACUAUAACGGUCCUAAGGUAGCGAAAUUCCUUGUCGGGUAAGUUCCGACCUGCACGAAUGGCGUAAUGAUGGCCAGGCUGUCUCCACCCGAGACUCAGUGAAAUUGAACUCGCUGUGAAGAUGCAGUGUACCCGCGGCAAGACGGAAAGACCCCGUGAACCUUUACUAUAGCUUGACACUGAACAUUGAGCCUUGAUGUGUAGGAUAGGUGGGAGGCUUUGAAGUGUGGACGCCAGUCUGCAUGGAGCCGACCUUGAAAUACCACCCUUUAAUGUUUGAUGUUCUAACGUUGACCCGUAAUCCGGGUUGCGGACAGUGUCUGGUGGGUAGUUUGACUGGGGCGGUCUCCUCCUAAAGAGUAACGGAGGAGCACGAAGGUUGGCUAAUCCUGGUCGGACAUCAGGAGGUUAGUGCAAUGGCAUAAGCCAGCUUGACUGCGAGCGUGACGGCGCGAGCAGGUGCGAAAGCAGGUCAUAGUGAUCCGGUGGUUCUGAAUGGAAGGGCCAUCGCUCAACGGAUAAAAGGUACUCCGGGGAUAACAGGCUGAUACCGCCCAAGAGUUCAUAUCGACGGCGGUGUUUGGCACCUCGAUGUCGGCUCAUCACAUCCUGGGGCUGAAGUAGGUCCCAAGGGUAUGGCUGUUCGCCAUUUAAAGUGGUACGCGAGCUGGGUUUAGAACGUCGUGAGACAGUUCGGUCCCUAUCUGCCGUGGGCGCUGGAGAACUGAGGGGGGCUGCUCCUAGUACGAGAGGACCGGAGUGGACGCAUCACUGGUGUUCGGGUUGUCAUGCCAAUGGCACUGCCCGGUAGCUAAAUGCGGAAGAGAUAAGUGCUGAAAGCAUCUAAGCACGAAACUUGCCCCGAGAUGAGUUCUCCCUGACUCCUUGAGAGUCCUGAAGGAACGUUGAAGACGACGACGUUGAUAGGCCGGGUGUGUAAGCGCAGCGAUGCGUUGAGCUAACCGGUACUAAUGAACCGUGAGGCUUAACCUU
RNAcentral lists this ribosomal RNA (1654 nucleotides) under Escherichia coli. Its description in RNAcentral is "partial 23S ribosomal RNA". It matches the Rfam family "Bacterial large subunit ribosomal RNA", at positions 1291 to 2925 of the family's 2925-position model. The record is from RNAcentral. Lineage: Bacteria; Pseudomonadati; Pseudomonadota; Gammaproteobacteria; Enterobacterales; Enterobacteriaceae.